Paramuricea clavata is the source of this 65-nucleotide non-coding RNA. NCBI's taxonomy places the organism in Eukaryota, Metazoa, Cnidaria, Anthozoa, Malacalcyonacea, Plexauridae. The record is from the annotation of a GenBank genome assembly.
GCCUCUAUAGCUCAGUUAGUUAGAGCACUGCACCGGAAUCACAGGUUCAAUUCCUGCCAGGGACC